CUGGCCAGCAGUGCCCUUUUGUCCAUGGAGGCUGUUGCGGCGGCGGCGGCGGCGGCGACGGCCGCCCCCUCCCCACCCCCGGCGGUCACCAGAAGAAGCCUGCAAGAAGGUCGCUGAAUUUCUUCAUUGAACUACUUUUGUGUUGGGAAUGACCUCUAUGUAAUAGUAUGAGAUGGACAACAUUCUUACCUGGACAACAUUCUUACUUGGACAAUGGUCCUUCUCCAUCUAGGAAGGUCACCUUCUCCCUUGGGUGAGCCAGCUUUGGGAGUGACACUCUGGAGCAAUUAGGAAUAAAGGUCCACCCACCAAGGAGCAAGUGGAGCCACCUCAUCGAUGAAUGGAGGAGGGAUGCUGAAGUCUCUUCAAACAACAUCCUGCUGAAUAUAAAUAAAGGCAGAGCCACCCUUGAAUCAAGUUCAAAUGGGAAGUCCAGUGAUGUCUUCCAAUCAUCUCUACCAAUCUCCCGUCUCCAUGCCAGAUGCUCUAAUUCACUAGGCCUGGGGAGCAGCAGAUCUGGGUGUUUGGGGGAAGCUUCCUAGGUGGUUCCGACACAGAGGCAGGUUUGGAAAGCACACAGUUCCAGGGCUCCCCUGGGCACUAGACUGCGUGCUUCACAAGAACAGGGAGUCUACACACGCUGCACCCUCACAACUGGAGGGCCACAUGCCGCUAAGGCACCAACACUAUUUACCAUGCUUCUGUUACUGCAGCUGCUUGUCUGUGGCCCUCCAGGUUCCCUUCAGGCUGAUUUUGGAUUACAAAGAUUGUUAGAGUCACAAUAGACGCUCAGUGAAUGUCUAUUGAUUUAGUCUAGCAUUCUCAGAAAAUGUGGGGAUAGGGCAGAUUUUUCUUCCCUUCAUCUGAGACAGAGCUUUCCCCCUUUGAAAUGUCUCUUUCUGACAUUUUUCUUCACAGCAUCCCAGUGGGUGGGGAAAGACCAGCAUCCCCCUCCCACCCCAUUUUAUAGAUGGGGAAACUGAGAACUAGAAAAAUGUAUUUGUUUACUCCUUGCCAAAAAGGCAAUUCAAAGCGGAGCUGGGACUGGCUUCUAUGGACGUAUUUACAGUGAUUGUCUCUCCUUAAGCCACAAUAAGGAAGAUCUUUUCUCCCGAGAGUACAUUAGAACAAGCCCUAAUAUAAAUGUCUUCUACUCCGCAGAUAACUGGUAAUGUAUGAUUAUGAUACGAUCUCAUGAUUUUGUUCAGCAACAAACACAAUCUUAUAUUUUAUUUCAGAGAUGAUAAACUUUACAAUCAGAUAAUGUUAUUUUUUACACUUUGGGUCCCUCAGCCCCUUUUAAAAUACUACUUAGACUUUUCCUAUCAGCAGUAUUUAUAUACUGCAUUUCCCAUUUAUUUUCAUCAAGCCUGUUCUCUCAAAGAUUCUAAUAAGCUUCCUUUGUAACUGAAUCCCUCUAUUUCCUCUCCAGUACCUAUGAAAGAACAGACCUCCUCUGAAAGGCACAACAUUUAAUGUAUUAGCUUCCACUCUGAUUCUCAGACUUUUCUAGAUAACCUUGAAAGGGCAUCAGUUCUAUGGUGUUCUCUAAUGAAUAUCAUGGGGACGUGCACAUUUUGACCCAAACCACGAGAGGAGCUCCUUUGGAAGUUAUCCCAGAUUUAGGUCUGCAGGAUCAUAAGAAUGAGUUUAUUUAUGGACAAUGAUUAUGUGAAAUCUGUAAAAAUACAGAAAAUUCUAAUCAUUGCCUUACUCUCAAGCGUCUCUCCUCAAUCUGAGCAUAAUUUCUUUCAGUUUUGAUCAGGAUGUGUGAUGCAUACCUAAUGGGCUUCCCACCGCCAUCUGGCAAACUGUGCAAGUUCACAGCUCGCACUACGGCAGCAGCAAGCAAUACCACAAGCCAAAUUUAAAGUAAAAGUGGGCUACGGGACAGUUGAAUCCGUAAGAAUGAGUUCUCUUUUAGCUCCAGAAAUGCUUUUUGGUGGGGCAACCAUCUUUAAUAGUUUGUAAGUUUCCAUAGCCUUCAGAGAGGGCCCUUUUUACCUGCGCUGACGAAGGUAAAUCUGAGUUUCCAAAUUGUGUUGUUACCCAAGAAAAGUUUGCUUAUUUGUGGAGUUUCAAGGCUUUCUUCAGUUAGAAUCACUCAUUCAUCACUAGUUGUUAGAAAACAAUUGAAUUAUAUUAGGAGGCUGGGUUCCGAGGACUUUCUUUUAACUUGAGAAAAUGCUCAUGUAUAUCAACCAAUAUUCAAAAUUGUGUUUAUGAAUAAUAAUUCUAGGAAAACACCUUAAUUGACUUGCUUGAAAGUGUUGUUACUGUCAGUUAUUCUUCACUUCAAGAUGGGUCACUAGGUGCCUCUAAGUAACACUGGAGGAGCAAAUGAAGAUGCUGAGGACUCUGGCGAUUGCAAUUACAUCCAGGGUAAUUGAUGCUCUUUAUAAUGCUUGCAUGAAAUAAUUUUUCCCUUAAGAAAUACUUACUUCCAUAUCCUUUUCACGUUAUCCUAUUCCCAGGUCGGAACUUAUCUUUGUAUUAUAUUCACUUAUGUAAGUCCAUAAUAUUUUAGUUGUGAGUGUAACUCAAGCAAACUGACUUGAAUUUGCUUCGACUCCAAGGAGGAGCUGAAUAACUAUUUCAUUGGUUCUAAAAUUUGCAUUACAAUUUUUAAAAAUAUCUCUGAAAUAAGAUGAG
Hyaena hyaena (striped hyena) is the source of this 2652-nucleotide long non-coding RNA. RefSeq lists it as uncharacterized. The transcript is spliced from 4 exons. Lineage: Eukaryota; Metazoa; Chordata; Mammalia; Carnivora; Hyaenidae. The record is from RefSeq and is a predicted model, not a curated record.